This 253-nucleotide ribosomal RNA is filed under the name uncultured bacterium. RNAcentral describes it as "partial 16S ribosomal RNA". It matches the Rfam family "Bacterial small subunit ribosomal RNA", at positions 524 to 776 of the family's 1533-position model. The record is from RNAcentral.
UACAGAGGGUGCGAGCGUUGUUCGGAAUUAUUGGGCGUAAAGGGCGCGUAGGCGGUGCGGUAAGUCACCUGUGAAAUCUCCUGGCUCAACUGGGAGCUUGCAGGCGAAACUGCCGUGCUGGAGUGUGGGAGAGGUGCGUGGAAUUCCCGGUGUAGCGGUGGAAUGCGUAGAUAUCGGGAGGAACACCUGUGGCGAAAGCGGCGCACUGGACCACAACUGACGCUGAGGCGCGAAAGCUAGGGGAGCAAACAGG